GCAUGGUAGGAGAGCGUUCUGUAAGCCUGUGAAGGUGUCUUGUAAAGGAUGCUGGAGGUAUCAGAAGUGCGAAUGCUGACAUGAGUAGCGAUAAAGGGGGUGAAAAGCCCCCUCGCCGUAAGCCCAAGGUUUCCUACGCAACGUUCAUCGGCGUAGGGUGAGUCGGCCCCUAAGGCGAGGCAGAGAUGCGUAGCUGAUGGGAAGCAGGUUAAUAUUCCUGCACCGUCGUAUGAUGCGAUGGGGGGACGGAUCGCGGAAGGUUGUCCGGGUGUUGGAAGUCCCGGUCCCUGUAUUGGAGAAGGCGCUUAGGCAAAUCCGGGCGCGGAAUUCAAGGAUAUGGGGCGAGCGGCCUAGUGCUGCGAAGCAAUUGGAAGUGGUUCCAAGAAAAGCCUCUAAGCUUCAGUCAUACGAGACCGUACCGCAAACCGACACAGGUGGGCGAGAUGAGUAUUCUAAGGCGCUUGAGAGAACUCGGGAGAAGGAACUCGGCAAAUUGGUACCGUAACUUCGGGAUAAGGUACGCCCUUGUAGCUUGACUGGCCUGCGCCAGGAGGGUGAAGGGGUUGCAAUAAAAUGGUGGCUGCGACUGUUUAAUAAAAACACAGCACUCUGCAAACACGAAAGUGGACGUAUAGGGUGUGACGCCUGCCCGGUGCCGGAAGAUUAAAUGAUGGGGUGCAAGCUCUUGAUUGAAGUCCCGGUAAACGGCGGCCGUAACUAUAACGGUCCUAAGGUAGCGAAAUUCCUUGUCGGGUAAGUUCCGACCUGCACGAAUGGCGUAACGAUGGCCACACUGUCUCCUCCCGAGACUCAGCGAAGUUGAAGUGUUUGUGAUGAUGCAAUCUCCCCGCGGCUAGACGGAAAGACCCCAUGAACCUUUACUGUAGCUUUGCAUUGGACUUUGAACCGAUCUGUGUAGGAUAGGUGGGAGGCUUUGAAGCGUGGACGCCAGUCUGCGUGGAGCCGACCUUGAAAUACCACCCUGGUUUGUUUGAGGUUCUAACCUUGGUCCGUGAAUCCGGAUCGGGGACAGUGCAUGGUAGGCAGUUUGACUGGGGCGGUCUCCUCCCAAAGUGUAACGGAGGAGUUCGAAGGUACGCUUGGUACGGUCGGACAUCGUACCUAAAGUGCAAUGGCAAAAGCGUGCUUAACUGCGAGACCGACAAGUCGAGCAGGUGCGAAAGCAGGACAUAGUGAUCCGGUGGUUCUGAAUGGAAGGGCCAUCGCUCAACGGAUAAAAGGUACUCUGGGGAUAACAGGCUGAUACCGCCCAAGAGUUCAUAUCGACGGCGGUGUUUGGCACCUCGAUGUCGGCUCAUCUCAUCCUGGGGCUGUAGCCGGUCCCAAGGGUAUGGCUGUUCGCCAUUUAAAGAGGUACGUGAGCUGGGUUUAAAACGUCGUGAGACAGUUUGGUCCCUAUCUGCCGUGGGCGUUGGAAUCUUGACGGGGGCUGCUCCUAGUACGAGAGGACCGGAGUGGACGUACCGCUGGUGUACCUGUUGUCUCGCCAGAGGCAUCGCAGGGUAGCUAUGUACGGAAGAGAUAACCGCUGAAAGCAUCUAAGCGGGAAACUCGCCUGAAGAUGAGGAUUCCCUGGAGCCUUGAGCUCCUUGAAGGGUCGUUCGAGACCAGGACGUUGAUAGGCUGGGUGUGGAAGCGCAGUAAUGCGUUAAGCUAACCAGUACUAAUUGCCCGUAAGGCUUGAUCCUAUAACCAGUGUGUUUC
Molecule: ribosomal RNA, 1725 nt
Filed under: Cupriavidus basilensis
Lineage: Bacteria; Pseudomonadati; Pseudomonadota; Betaproteobacteria; Burkholderiales; Burkholderiaceae
Description: partial 23S ribosomal RNA
Rfam family: Bacterial large subunit ribosomal RNA
Source: RNAcentral